UACGGAGGGGGCUAGCGUUGUUCGGAAUUACUGGGCGUAAAGGGCUCGUAGGCGGCCAACUAAGUCCGACGUGAAAUCCCCAGGCUUAACCUGGGAACUGCGUCGGAUACUGGAUGGCUUGAAUUCGGGAGAGGGAUGCAGAAUUCCAGGUGUAGCGGUGAAAUGCGCAGAUAUCAGGAGGAACACCAGCGGCGAAGGCGGCGCUCUGGGCUGGAACUGACGCUGAGGAGCGAAAGCGUGGGGAGCGAACAGG
RNAcentral lists this ribosomal RNA (253 nucleotides) under uncultured bacterium. RNAcentral's name for it is "partial 16S ribosomal RNA". It matches the Rfam family "Bacterial small subunit ribosomal RNA", at positions 524 to 776 of the family's 1533-position model. The record is from RNAcentral.